RNAcentral lists this ribosomal RNA (434 nucleotides) under uncultured bacterium. Its description in RNAcentral is "bacterial SSU rRNA". It matches the Rfam family "Bacterial small subunit ribosomal RNA", at positions 355 to 786 of the family's 1533-position model. The record is from RNAcentral.
UGAGGAAUAUUGGUCAAUGGCCGAGAGGCUGAACCAGCCAAGUCGCGUGAGGGAUGAAGGUUCUAUGGAUCGUAAACCUCUUUUAUAAGGGAAUAAAGUGACCCACGUGUGGGUUUUUGUAUGUACCUUAUGAAUAAGGAUCGGCUAACUCCGUGCCAGCAGCCGCGGUAAUACGGAGGAUCCGAGCGUUAUCCGGAUUUAUUGGGUUUAAAGGGUGCGUAGGCGGCCCCUUAAGUCAGCGGUGAAAGUCUGUGGCUCAACCAUAGAAUUGCCGUUGAAACUGGGGGGCUUGAGUAUGUUUGAGGCAGGCGGAAUGCGUGGUGUAGCGGUGAAAUGCUUAGAUAUCACGCAGAACCCCGAUUGCGAAGGCAGCCUGCCAAGCCAUGACUGACGCUGAUGCACGAAAGCGUGGGGAUCAAACAGGAUUAGAUACC